UUAACUGAAGCUAAAUAGAAGCUAUUCACUGUUAAUGAAAAAAUUGAUUAUAUCCAGUUAAA
RNAcentral lists this transfer RNA (62 nucleotides) under Lycorma delicatula (spotted lanternfly). Its description in RNAcentral is "tRNA-Asn". Lineage: Eukaryota; Metazoa; Arthropoda; Insecta; Hemiptera; Fulgoridae. RNAcentral also lists the same sequence under 1 other name. The record is from RNAcentral.